This 64-nucleotide transfer RNA is filed under the name Tigriopus californicus. RNAcentral's name for it is "tRNA-Val". Lineage: Eukaryota; Metazoa; Arthropoda; Copepoda; Harpacticoida; Harpacticidae. The record is from RNAcentral.
CUAAGAAAUAGUAUAUACAAGUACAGGUUAGUUACAUCAACCAGGAAGAAAAAUCUUAUCUAGA